This 865-nucleotide ribosomal RNA is filed under the name uncultured bacterium. RNAcentral describes it as "bacterial SSU rRNA". It matches the Rfam family "Bacterial small subunit ribosomal RNA", at positions 8 to 868 of the family's 1533-position model. The record is from RNAcentral.
AGAGUUUGAUUAUGGCUCAGAUUGAACGCUGGCGGCAGGCCUAACACAUGCAAGUCGAGCGGUAGAGAGAAGCUUGCUUCUCUUGAGAGCGGCGGACGGGUGAGUAAUGCCUAGGAAUCUGCCUGGUAGUGGGGGAUAACGUUCGGAAACGGACGCUAAUACCGCAUACGUCCUACGGGAGAAAGCAGGGGACCUUCGGGCCUUGCGCUAUCAGAUGAGCCUAGGUCGGAUUAGCUAGUUGGUGAGGUAAUGGCUCACCAAGGCGACGAUCCGUAACUGGUCUGAGAGGAUGAUCAGUCACACUGGAACUGAGACACGGUCCAGACUCCUACGGGAGGCAGCAGUGGGGAAUAUUGGACAAUGGGCGAAAGCCUGAUCCAGCCAUGCCGCGUGUGUGAAGAAGGUCUUCGGAUUGUAAAGCACUUUAAGUUGGGAGGAAGGGCAGUUACCUAAUACGUGAUUGUUUUGACGUUACCGACAGAAUAAGCACCGGCUAACUCUGUGCCAGCAGCCGCGGUAAUACAGAGGGUGCAAGCGUUAAUCGGAAUUACUGGGCGUAAAGCGCGCGUAGGUGGUUAGUUAAGUUGGAUGUGAAAUCCCCGGGCUCAACCUGGGAACUGCAUUCAAAACUGACUGACUAGAGUAUGGUAGAGGGUGGUGGAAUUUCCUGUGUAGCGGUGAAAUGCGUAGAUAUAGGAAGGAACACCAGUGGCGAAGGCGACCACCUGGACUGAUACUGACACUGAGGUGCGAAAGCGUGGGGAGCAAACAGGAUUAGAUACCCUGGUAGUCCACGCCGUAAACGAUGUCAACUAGCCGUUGGGAGCCUUGAGCUCUUAGUGGCGCAGCUAACGCAUUAAGUUGA